CCUACGGGUGGCAGCAGUGAGGAAUCUUUGUCAAUGGGCGAGAGCCUGAACCUGCCAAGUCGCGUGGGGGAGUGCUGCCCUAUGGGUUGUAAACCUCUGUUGUCGGGGAGCAAAAGCCGGACGUGUCCGGCUGUGAGGGUACCCGAAGAAAAAGCGUCGGCUAACUCCGUGCCAGCAGCCGCGGUAAUACGGAGGAUGCGAGCGUUAUCCGGAUUUAUUGGGUGAAAAGGGUGCGCAGGCGGAUUUUUAAGUCAGCGGUAAAAUCGUGGGGCUCAACCCCAUCCAGCCGUUGAAACUGGGGAUCUAGAGUGUGCGAGAGGUAUGCGGAAUGCGUGGUGUAGCGGUGAAAUGCAUAGAUAUCACGCAGAACCCCGAUUGCGAAGGCAGCAUACCGGUGCACAACUGACGCUCAGGCACGAAAGCGUGGGUAUCGAACAGGAUUAGAUACCCUUGUAGUC
RNAcentral lists this ribosomal RNA (458 nucleotides) under uncultured bacterium. RNAcentral's name for it is "partial 16S ribosomal RNA". It matches the Rfam family "Bacterial small subunit ribosomal RNA", at positions 338 to 795 of the family's 1533-position model. The record is from RNAcentral.